GAUGAAGAACGCAGCAAAAUGCGAUAAGUAAUGUGAAUUGCAGAAUUCAGUGAAUCAUCGAAUCUUUGAACGCACUUUGCGCCCGCCAGUAUUCUGGCGGGCAUGCCUGUUCGAGCGUCAUUUCAACCCUCAAGCCCUCGGGUUUGGUGUUGGGGAUCGGCGAGCCUUUCUGGCAAGCCGGCCCCGAAAUCUAGUGGCGGUCUCGCUGCAGCCUCCAUUGCGUAGUAGUAAAACCCUCGCAACUGGAACGCGGCGCGGCCAAGCCGUUAAACCCCCAACUUCUGAAUGUUGACCUCGGAUCAGGUAGGAAUACCCGCUGAACUUAAGCAUAUCAAUAAGCGGAGGA
This 346-nucleotide unclassified non-coding RNA is filed under the name soil metagenome. RNAcentral's name for it is "partial contains 5.8S ribosomal RNA, internal transcribed spacer 2, and large subunit ribosomal RNA". The stretch from base 1 to 120 matches the Rfam family "5.8S ribosomal RNA", at positions 35 to 154 of the family's 154-position model. The record is from RNAcentral.